GUCCAGGGAUGGGAAUCGAACCCACAGAGUUCCGUUCUAGGGCAUAUGCCAUGUCCACUAGGCUACCCUGGA
RNAcentral lists this transfer RNA (72 nucleotides) under Cordylochernes scorpioides. RNAcentral describes it as "tRNA-Ser". The record is from RNAcentral. Lineage: Eukaryota; Metazoa; Arthropoda; Arachnida; Pseudoscorpiones; Chernetidae.